This 21374-nucleotide long non-coding RNA is filed under the name Solanum lycopersicum (tomato). RNAcentral describes it as "long non-coding RNA (SLYC_LNC001325)". Lineage: Eukaryota; Viridiplantae; Streptophyta; Magnoliopsida; Solanales; Solanaceae. The record is from RNAcentral.
UGCUCUUUUAUUGAAUUUCAAAAGUUUAUGCAAAAGAGGUUGUCCGAUUAAAACGAAAAAAAUAUAUAAAAGAAAAUGGCUCAACUCAUGAUGAACUUGCCCGCCUCUAUUGUCAGAAUCUAAGUAUUAGGGUUUCCUAAUUGAGCUCUUUCAUUUUCUCCACAAUGUCGUCGCAGGGAGCUCUCUUCAACUCCACUUUCCUUUUCCUUAUGAUGUAGGUUAUCAACACCUUCAUUUGGACCGUAAUCAUUAUCAUUUUUGUCAGCUCAUUGAGGUACGUCUCCAUUAAAUUUUAGCUAACAUUCCCUUCGCGAUUUGUCUGCUGACCUUUUUUUUAGGAAUUCAAUAUUGUGGAUGUAGUGGUUACUUUGGUGGUGUUGAUAGAAGUGCCUUGUCUGGUAUUUGAGCUUGCAAAUCCCUAUAGGUGACAUUUUUCUCCCGUGUCCUCUUUGGAUACUUUUAUCGCUUUCUAACUUGUUUUCUAGAUGAAGAGACAAUGCAUAUACCAAGAUGAUAAUUCUCUUCUUUGUAGAGUUCAUCCUCAUCUGUCAUGCUAUAAUGCCUGGAACUGUCAAAAUGGGGUUGGCCUAUUAAGUUAGCCCAAUCCAACCCUUGAAUUAAGUAUGGUUGGGCAUAACUUUUUUGACCUAUUUAGGUUUUUGAUCCAACUUCAUUUGCAUCGCUAACCUUAUGGGCCCAACGCACAAGGCAGGCAUGCCAAUCUUUUGACUUCUUUCUUAACCUUUUGGGGUAUUUUGUUGUUGCAGUGCUAUGUUUUUGUUUCUUUUGUUUCAUGUGUUUAUUGCACCUUUUUGAUUUUCGAUCGCAAUUUUCUAAUUUUUUUAAAGGAUGGUUUAGACUUGGAUUUGUUGAAAAUAUUUGGAAUCUAUAGAGUUUCGUCAAUAGGUUUCAUUUGAGAUUUCCUCUUCUGGAAUUGAUCUUGCCCCAUUUUUUUCUUGAUUUUGCUUUGCGAUUGAUUCUCGAUCUCAAUUUUCAAAAAAUUCUUGAGGAUGCUUUAGUGUUGGAUUUUUUUUGAAAAUAUUUGGGAUCUAGAGAGUUUCGUCUAAAGGUUCCAUUUGAGAUUUCCUAUUCUGGAGUAGAUCUAGCCCCAUUUUUUUUCUUGAUUUUGCUUCACACUUCAUUUCUCUAUUCACAUUUUCCUUGCAACUCUUAACCUUUUUUGGGGUAUUUUUUUGUUGCAGUUCUAUUUGUUUGUUUCUUCUAAUUGUUAUGUUUAUUUCCCCACAUUGAUUCCUGAUCUCAUUUUCAAUCUCUUCUUUAGGUUGCUUUAGAAUGGAUUUGUUAAAAACAUUUGGGAAUGGAGAGUUUCAUUUAGAGGUUCUAUUUUAGAUUUCCUAUUCUGAAGCCAAUCUAAAAUCUUUCUAUUUUUUUUCUUGAUACUGGUUAGCAAUUAAGUCCUCUAUUCUCAUUUUUCCGUGCCAUCUAUGAUUCAUUUCCGAUGAUGUUCUCUAUGGGAUGCUUGGUAAGAGAACUUCUAUUUUCGUUUUAUUUUUUCAUUUGAAACUAUGUGACCUGCAUUGAGAAUGAUCUUUUCCUUUCUUUUUUCUUUGCAUUUAAAAGGACCAAUACAAUAGAAUUAGCAUCCUAAGGUGAAAAUAUUAUACAUUGCACGUCAACCGAUCUAACUGUGUAAAAUUGAAAUUAGGACUUGAUUUGAUCUGCAUGUUGCAUUGCUUAAUUCGUUCUUGCAGUUGCUUCUUAUUUCUCUUUGCUUGUUAUUAUGUAAUAUUUGUUGUAAUGGUGUUUGAAUUUUGAUUCUUGAGUUCUUGUAUGGUUGUUUUUUUCAUUUGUAUGAUUCAUAUGUAUUGAACCUAUUCAAUUAAUAGGUUUUUGAAUAAUCCAAUUCAAGAAACAUUACUCCAAAUUUGGUUAUGUUAUUGUAGAUGUAUCCAAGUUUUUGUUGUUGUUUUUUGUCUUUCAUGAAUGUAUACUUGUAACCAAAGAAAAAAGAUUAGUUAAGAGUUUUGUUUAUCAUGUUCUCCUCCCAUCAUGAGAUUUUUUCAUAAAGUAUUGUACUCCCUCCAUUUUUCAACCCAAUUUUUCAUCUUUGGACCUUUUGGGGUAUUUUGUUGUUGCAGUUCGAUUUGUCCGUUUCUCUUGUGUCAUGUGUUUGUUACAACCUUUUGAUUGACAAUCCUAUUCUCAAACUUUUCUUUAGUAUGUUUUAGAGUUAGAUAUGUUGGAAAUAUUUGGAAUUUUGAGAGUUUCCUCUAGAGGUUCCAUUUGAGAUUUUUUAUUGUGAAGCUAAUCUAGUUUCCUUCUAUUUUUUCUUCAUUCAGGUUAGCAAUUAAUUCCUCUACUCAGAUUUUCCCCUAGCUGCUUUGAUUCUUUGCUAAUGUUGUUCUCUCUAUAAUUUUUGGUAAGUAAGCUUUUCGCUUAUUUUAUUUAUCUUUUUGGUUCGAAAUUAUUUGAUCCAAAAUGAGAAUGAUGUUUUUCUUUUGUUUAAUUUUUCACUUAAAUAUAUUAAUGUUUGUAUAAUAGAAGUAGCAUCCUGAGGUGAAAAUACCGUAUUUUUCACAUCAACCAACUUUAGUAGUAUAAAAUUGAAAUUAAUGUUUCAUUUGAUCUGCAUGUUGCAUUACUUAUUUGUUUUUUUCUAGCUGCUUCUUAUUUCUCUUUACUUGUUAUUAUGCAUUAUUUGUUGUAUUGAUUUCUGCAUUUUUAUUCUUGAAUUCUUGUAUGGUUGUGUUUUUUAUGUAGUUGGGUGCAUCAUUUGUAUGAUUUAUAUCUAUUGAACCAACUCAAAUAAUAGGUUUUUGGCUAAGACAAUUCAGAAAGAUUACGCUAUAUUUACUAUUCUAUAUGAAUACAAAUUAGUAUUGUUUUAUGUGUUCCACGAAUGUCUACUUGCAAUAAAGUUGUGUUAAUCAUAUUUUCCUCCCAUCAGGGAAUUUGUGCAUAAUAAGAAUUGAACUCCUUCCAUUUUCGCCCGAACUUUUCAUAUCUUGACCUUUGGGGGUAUUCUUAUUGCACUUCUAUUUGUCCGUUACUUCGGAUUCAUAUUUUUAUUGCACUGAUUCUCGAUCUUAUUUUCAAGCUUUUCUUUUGGAUGCUUUACAGUUAGAUCUGCUGAAAAGAUUUAUGAUCUGGAGAGUUUUGUCUAGACGUUCCAUUUGAGAUUUCCUAUUUUGUAGCUCAUUAAGCUAUAAACACUGAGUAAGUGCUAAAAGAAGAUACUUUAUUAAUGAACUCGAACGAGUAUUAAAUAGAAAUACAGAGAGAAUAAGAAGGCCACUAAACAAACUAAUAACGUAAUAUAAAUAAAUAAUGACUGCUGCAAUAUCCAAACUAAAUUGAACUAAAAGUAGCUAACAAGGCUGAGUUGUUCAGUGCCAAUACGCCCCCUCAAGUUAGACGAUGGGUUAUUAAGCCUAACUUGAUUAUAUUUUGCUUGAAAGUAGGUUUAGGUAGUGCAUUGGUGAGAGUGUCAACGAUUUGAUCGGCACCAUGGACAUGAACAACAUUAACUUCGUUAUUUCUACAUGGUUGCGAACAAAGUCAAAAUCAAUUGCAACAUGCUUCACACGACUAUGAAAGACAGGAUUUUUGCUCAGGAAUGUGGCUCCAAGAUUGUCACAGUAAAUGGUAGGCAACUGGUGCACUGGAAAACGCAGCUCAGUUAGAAGAUUGGUCACCCACAAGGUUUCUGAAAAAGCAUUAUCCACUGCCCUAUACUUAGAUUUAGUGGAGGAUCGAGAGACAAUAUUUUUCUUCUUCGAGGACCAACUAAUCAGAUUUGUACCAAGGAACAGGAUAUACCCAGAUGUGGAAACCCUGUCAAAGAUAUCCCCCAAUUUGCAUCAGAGUAUACAUGCAGAUUGAAGUCCUCAAUGGAGGUUACACGGAGGCCCAACUGGAUGGUUCCACGCAAGUAACGGAGAACACGCUUCACAGCUUUUCAAUGAAGUUAUGAUGGUGCUUUCAUAAAUUAGGAUAACUUAUUCACUGCAUAGGCGAUGUCUGAUCUAGAAAAAGACAAGCAUUGGAGCCUGCCUAAGACUCUACGAUACCGUGUUGCAUCAGUCAGGUGAGUGGCAUCAAACAAUGUGAGUAGCUCAGAUGCACUCAUUGGUGUGUGGACACUUUUUGCAAUCGGUCAUUAGUUCAUCAUUCAAAAUCUCGUUCACAUAAUUCAUUUGGGUGAGAAUUAAUCCGUCAGAGCUGCAUAUAACAUCAACACCCAGAAAGUAGUGAAGAUUUCCCAAAUCCUUAAUAGAGAAUUGAGAAAAAAGUGAAGCAAUAACCUGAUCGACACUGAAAAUGUUGCUGCCAGUGAAAAUAAUAUCAUCGACAUAGAAAAGGACAAACACUGUAUCACCUAGACCUUGUCUGACGAGUAGCGAAACAUCUGAUUUCAUCUUAACAAAAUCAUAUCGGCUUGUUUCAAUCCAUAGAUUGCCUUGCGCAGUCGACAUAUAUGAGUUGGUUUGUCAUCAUUAAGGAAUCCUAGAGGUUGUUCCAUGUACACCUCUUUUUCCAGGUCCCGUGGAAGAAAGCAUUGUUAACAUCAAGUUGAAGGAGAUGCAAAUUAUUUCAAAGUGCCACAGAGAGGAUAAUCCGGACUAUGGUAGGCUUGACAACUGGGAUGAAGGUCGCGUGGAAGUCAAUGCCCUGUCUCUAAGUGAAUCCUCUUGCAACUAGCCGUGCUUUAUAUCUAUCAACAGACCCACCUGCUUUCCUUUUUAUCCCGAAAAGCCACUUGCAAGAGACAAUAUUUUUGGUUAGGUCUGGAGGAAUAAGUUCCCAUGUCUGGUUUUUAAUUAAACCAUCAAGUUCAUGUUUCAUUGCAUCUCACCAGUGGGGAUGUUUUUGAGCUUGUUUGGCAGUAAUAGGUGUGAUGAUGGGGUUUGGUUUGGCCAGGCAAUCAACAAUUUGUUAGGGUUUAGUGAUGUUGUUUUGGGAUCGCGUGACAGCACAUGUAGGGGGAGACAGACAAUGAGGCAGGAAAAGAGCAAUAUCUGACUCAUAGAUAGGGCAUACUGGUCGAGGGUCCAUGGCUGUUGGUGGAAUGGUGUUUCUGCAUUGAUAAACAAGGAGGGGACGCGGGCUGCUAUCUGUGUUCAGUGGUAUGUGGGUUGGUGAACAUGGAGGGAGGUAUGGCGGUGUAGUGUUUUGGGCAGUACAGGGAGAAGACAGUUCCAGGAGAGUGGGAAUUGUAGAAGUUGAGGGAGAUAAAAAUUUAUCUGGAGACGUUGACAUUGCAGGAGGUGAAGUUGCUUCCACCGCUGAUUCACUUUUGGUGUAGGAUUGAGAUCUUGAGUUGUCCUAUAACUCUCUUGGGUAAGUAGAAGGUAUUGAUCGGUAGUCCACAGGUGUGUGCGUGUCUAUGUUUAAGGGAUGAGGAAGACCAAUAACGACAGAAAAUGUGGUGAGGUCUGAAGGAUUUAAAAUUGUGGUAUUUUCCUAUUCUAGAUGAGAUGAUUUUACGGCAAUAUUAGAGUAUAGAGUUUUAAAUGGAAAAAACACUCUCAAUAAAUCACACAUCUCGGGACAAAUAGACCUUACCAACAUUUGGGUCAAAGCACUGGUGACAAUGAUGAGAAAGGGAAAAUCACCUAAUUACAACUCCUUACGGAUUUUUGAUUGUUUAUGCUAUCCAUGGCUCAAAUCAUACUCCAAAAAUAAAUUAAUCGUUCUUGUUAGAGCUUAUAGAGCUCUAAUACCAUAUAAAAACUGAGUAAGUGCUGAAAGAAGAUACUUUAUUAAUGAACUCAAACGAGUAUUAAAUAGAAUUACAGAGAGAACUCCUAAACAAACACUAAUAACGUAAUAUAAAUAAAUAAUGACUGCUGCGUUAUCUUAACUAAAAUGAACUAACUAUAGCUUACAAGGCUUAGUCGUUCAGUACCAAUAUUAGCCUCCUAUUUUUUAUUCUGUUUAGCAAUUCAUUCCUUUAUUCAUAUUUUUCCGUGUCUUUAGCUUUGAUUCGUCUCCUUUGUUUAUCUCUUUGCGAUUCUUUUUGAAUGAGAUUUCUCUUCUUUUUUUAUUUUAAAACUGUGUGACCCACAAUGAGAAUGAUGUUUUCAUUUCCUUUAAAUUUGAACUUAAAAUAAUCGAUCAUUGUACAAUAGAUAUAGGAUCUUGAGGUGAAACUACAAUACAUUGCACAUCAACAGUUCCUAAUAGUGUAAAAUUGGAAUUAGGUCUUGGAUUUCAUCUGCAUAUUAUUGCUUAUUUGGUUCUUGUAGCUUCUACUUAUUUUUCUUUGCUUGUUAUUAUGUAUUUUCUCUUAUAUUGGUAUUUUGUUUUGGUUCUUCAAUUAUGAUAUGGUGCAUUAUUAUGUAGUUGGAUGCAUCAUUUGUAUAGUUGUUCAAUUAAGAGGUUUUUGACUAAGCCUAUCCAAGAAGAUUACUUCAAAUUUGCUUAUGUACCAUUCUCUGUUUUUCCAAAUUUGUGUUGUUAUUUGUCUUUUCCGUGCAAUCAAAGAUACUAGAUUAGUUAAAAGUUUUGGUUAUUAUGUUCUCUUCUCAUCAGGGGAUUUGUUCAUGAUAAGUAUUGAACUCCCUCUAUUUUUCACCCCUAACUUUUCAUCGCUUGCAUGAUCUGAUAAUUAAGUAAGCCAAUUUAGCUUUUUAAUAUUAAUUAGUCUCUUUCCCUAUACUCCUAAAUCAAAUAAAGUCUAUGUAUUUACUUCUCUUUCAUCUAGAGUUGUAUUUUUGAGAUGAAUAGCAUAUCAGAUGUCUUUAUAAUAUGAGUUGUUCUAAUAUAUCUGUUACUCAUCCUCAUGCAUAUCUCUUCCACCACUUUAAUUAUUAGCCAUGAGACCUUCCGAGUUUCACGAAGUCGAUUGGUCUUUCCCUUCCUUAUAUAGAAAUUCCUAGCCUCUAGUACCCUCAAAUUUAAAGUGGAAAUUCUUCUUUGUGUCUUGAAUUUGAAAGCUUUGAUUUUAAUACCUUGUUGAGUUUUUUCGCUUUUUUUUCUCUCGUUUAUGCCUAUAAUGUCUCUCAUCAUUAUACGUCCAUAUCCAGGUUGAUUGUGUUUCGUUCAGUUAGCUCAAAAUUCAGAUAUAACAAUCUUGAUUUUUCAAAUGUUUCACCUGUAUUCUUGACUGCCAACAUGUAUAUAUUUUCUCACUUUUCUUGCUAUUUUGAGAUAAUUUUUUGUUGCAAUUCUAUUAUUCUACUUCUUAUGAUUAAUGUGUUUAUUGUUCCCUUUGAAUUAUCGACCACAUUUCAAAAAUUGUUCUUUAAUAUUCUUUAGAGUUAUAUUUGUUCAAAGUAUUUGGAUGUGGAGAGUUUCAUCUGGAGGUUUCCUUUGAGAUUUUCUAUUUUGAAGUCGAUCUAGACUCCUAAUAUUUUUCUUGGUAUUGAUUAGCUGUUAAUUCCUCUAUUUGCAUUUUUUCAUGCCUUUAGUUAUGAUUCGUCCUCCAUGUUGUCUUCGUGACGCUUGAUUAGUGAUUUUUUGUCAUCUUUUCUUAAACUAUGUGGCCUACAAUUAAAAUAAUGAUUUACUUUUUUAAAAAAUUCUUCACUUGAAAACAUAGAUUUUUGUACAAUAAAAGUAGCAUCCUAAGGUAAAAAUGCCACAUAUUGCACAUCAACCAAUCCUAAAAGUAUAAAAUUAAAAUUGGUCUUGGAUUUGAGCUGCAUAUUGUGUUGCUUAUUAGAUUCCUGUAGUGGCUCGUGUAUGUCUAUCGUAUAUGGAUUUGCAUUUUGAUUCUUGAGUUCUUGUAUGUUUGUAGUUUAGUGCAUCAUUUGUAUGAUUCAUAUAUAUUGAAGUACUUCAAUUAAUAGGUUUUUGACUAAGACAAUUCAAGAAACAUUACACCAAAUUUGUUUAUGUAGUAUUUUAUAUAUAUCCAAAUUCGUGUUGUUAUUUUUUUUCCUCCAUGAUUGUCUACUUAAAAUCAAAGAAACUAGGUUAGUUACAAGUUUUGUUUAUCAUGUUUUUCUUGCAUCAUGGGAUUUUAUCAUUAUAAGUAGUAAAUACUGUCCAUUUUUCAUCUCAACUUCUCAUCUCUUGUAUAACCUGAUUCUUAAGUAAGGAAAAUUUAGCUUAUCAUUAUUAAUUAUUCUCCUUCUAUACUCUUAGAUCAAAGAAAAACUAUAUUUUCUCCUCCUUCAUCAAGUAUUGUAUUCGGAGAUGAUUAGCCUAUCAAUUGCCUUCCUUUAUAUUAUGAGUUAUUCUGAUAUUUUUGUCAUACAUCCUCGUUAAUAUCUCAUCUACUACGUCAAAUAUCGGCCAGGAGACCUCCCAUUUCCCAAAUUUUCAUAAUAAAAUUUCUUAACAGUAAUGAGUCAAUCUCAAUUAUUACCAGUCGAUAUUAGUUCUCCUCUAUAUAUAUCAUUGCCUUAGUUUAGUCAUAAUUUUUGUAUGAGUGUUGUGCAUUGUAAUAUACUUAUUUCUCUCACCUUAUCAGCAAAUAUAUUACCAUUUAUAUUCCUCAUACGAAAUUCCAAUGAUCCCUGUCAGGAUUUUAUCUAGAUGUACCAUCUGUAUUACAUUUCACAUAUUCAUUAUCUACUGGCCUCCAACACAUUUGAAUCACCUUUGAUUUGGUUUAUAAGUGUGAAGAGAAUGCACUUAGGUAUUUUAUUUGUAGGAAGCAUGUUUAAGAUUUUCUAUUUUCUCCUUCAUAAGCAUGAUGACAAUAUGCAUGAUUUUGUAUAUUAAUUUUACUUUAGAGCAAAUGAUAUUAGCUAAUCAAGUUUUGUCAUGUCUAUCUUUGUUUCUGUGUGCUUACUUAGAUCUCUUCUUUGUUAUAUAAUCAUUCGGUGAUUGAAAUUUGUUGUCUUAGCUAAUUCAAUCUCUCUCAAUAAAUAGUCCAUUCUAUAAGAAUUGCAAAAUAAUUUGACAAGUAAUAUUGAUUUAAGUAUCCAUGAUAUAUGAUUCAAAUAAUGUCGAGCAUAAGAAAGAAAGAAAAAUAGCUUAGAUUUAUCCACACUAACUUUUUUCUUCCGCUGUGCCUUUUUUAUUUGAAAAACUAAUAUUUCGUUCUAGUCGCAAGUCUUAUAUCUCCACCUGUCUCCAGAUAUGUAGGCUUCCCGAUUGUUCGAUUGUGUACCAUGUUAAUUAAUAAUUUAGGAAUACAAAAUUUAUUUUGAAGCUAUAAAAAUUAUCAAAAUAUACCAUAAGAAAAACUAGACAUAAAAUUAAUCUAGCUGACAAACAAUCAUUUCCAUCAAAAUGAUUAUAUUGUUAUCAACUUUAAAUGAAUCUAAAUUAAUAGCACAAAAAAAGAAUAAUGAAGACAAUAGUUUAUAUGAAGAUAACACAAAAAAGAAAAAAAAGUAAAUAUUUUUAUGGAGAUUGAUGGGUUAUUCACUAAAAGAUAUAAGAUUGAUGAUUCUAAUUUCAUAAUCUUUGAGUUCACCCUCGAUUUCUUUUGCAAAAUGACUUAUGAUAAGUAUAAGAAGAAAAUAUUUUUUAUAUGGCGAUUGAUAUAUACAUUGGGACUCAAUUAGACUCGGAUACCGAAAAGUCUCAAACUGAGGGUGAACCUCUUUCUAACCAAUGUAAGUCAUGGCCAAGACUUGAACUUGACACUUCUGGUUAAGGAUCAAAGAAUAGUAAUUCUAGUCAACAACAAUCUUUGUUGGUAGAACACAAUAAAUAAAUCCAACAUAUUACCAAAUAUUCAAGAGAAAGUAAAUGAAAACAUUAUUAGUAUCAACAAAAUAUAUGGUGGGAUGUAAAUGAUCCAUCCAUCCUUAACCAGAAUUCUCAAUUUGAGCCUUGGAUAUGAAGAAAAUCUUGUUAUAAAGUAUCCCUUGAAAUUCAUAUUAACCGGGGAUUUAAUAUGAUAUAUUGUAAUCGAGUGAAACUAAUAUUAAUUACAGUUUACAAUUUAUUUCAACUUCUAUUGUAACUCUUUCUAUCUGAAACAAUGGUAAUUUCUAUAAUAAUAAGUUGUCACGUUUAAUAUUUCACUGAGAUGCGUUGUUUUUUUACCUUUCAAUGUGUGUUUAAAAGAAGUUUUAAAAGAAAAUAUGAAUAUGUCAUCAAAAUAUAUGGAAUUCACAUCUUUCUGUUUAUUUCUAUUGAAAUUUCAUUCCCCAAUUUUGAUUCAAUGCCAUUCUAUUUAGUAAUUUAAAAACACAAUAUUUUCAUUUGAAUAUAGAAAAUCAUCAUCAUACACCACAAUGAAAAUCGAGAAUAAAAAUAAUCUAAUUGACGAACAAUAAUCUCCGUAAAAAAUUGUUAUAAAUUAAUAGCAAAAAAUAAAGAAAUAUUCUCUACACACUUUACAUGUAGAGAACCCAAAACAAAAAAAAAUGUAAAAGAUUACAUCAAGGAGUUGUGGAGUUAUUCCCUAAGGGAUCAUUUAGUUGAGAACAAGUUAUCACAUGAUUAAUUAUCAUGGGAUUAAUUAUCCAGGAUAGCUUAUCCCACCAUAUAUAUGAGAUAACUUAUCCCAUCCGUUAGAAUCUUUGCGUCCACUAUCAGUCAAUGGACCAGGUCCCUUGACACACAAAUAAGGAUAUAGAAGAAACUAAAAGCAGUUUAACAACAGAGGAGUUUUAUGUGGAAACCUCCUUUGUCAAGGGAGUAAAACCACGACCUGUCUCACAUGAUUUUUAUUUCCGUUUCACUAAUAUUCACAAGACAAAGAAAAUCGGUUACACAAAUGCGAGAAAAAGUUUUUAAUCUCACCAACAAGCAAUAACUCUUUUGCUUGAUGAGCCUAAGUAGAUGUUACACUACCCACUAAGCUAUCACUCUAGACAACUUAAAAUUUUCUAAGCAACACAAAGGUUACCCACUAAAGUAGAAGAUUCAGGUUAAGGGCCUCCAACACCUGUAAGUAGAAGCUUCUUUCUCUUUUUGGCAAAGCAAAGGGAGAUAUGGAUCCUGCUAUCAGUGAAACACUUUGUCAAAUUGAUCAAACAAUUCUAAAUGCUGAAAAUGAAAGGUGCAAAUGUCAGCAAACGUUUCAUGCUCUUUUAGAGCAUGUGCCUGCUUUUUCUCCGGACCUAGUGGAACACCAUAUUCAACAGCUCCUUAACCAAAUUCAAACCCUGGAAAAAGAGAAAAGGAGAUUUUCCCGAGAUAGGGAAGACCUUAUUGUUAGGAUGAACUUCCGCAUCUACGCCGGAAACAACUAAGUGUUAGCCGACUCUUUGGAGUUUAAGAAGGUUUAAAUACGUGUCUAUAGAUGCAAAGUAGUUUGUUCUUCUUUUUCUUUGUUUAGUGGAGUUCUACUCCUAUGAUAAGUGUAUGUGUUGUGUUUGCAUGUAUAAGUGGUAGACUUCAAUGCUUCAGUUGCUCACUUUUUUAUGUUGUAUUUAGUUGAGUGGAUGGUGUAUGUGUCGGUAAAUUAUUAUUUGAUGUAUUUCCAUGUAACUGCUAUUAAUGAAAAAAAUCUGCUUUUUUCUAGUUCAUUCUCUUUUCCUGUUUUGUGCAGAAAAAUUAUUUUGAAUUCUUUUUUAAGACUGGUCUUUCUCUAGUAAAUUUCUCAUAUAUACAAGCUCAAACUACAUCCAAGAGGGUGGAAGUUCUGUGUAUAUAGUCACUCUCCUAUAUCCUAUAAUAGCAUAAGCAUAGAAGAAAGCUUCGCCUUUUCUGUCAUAUCUUCAAACCUCCACCGAAGGAGUUGAACGUAGUGAAAAGAGUCAUUUCGUUGACAAAAGAGACUAUAAAGCUAGUAUAUUUAUCGCACACCUGAUCUUCUUUCUCAUAAGGAAUGAUCACCUUCUAAUCAAAAUAGGAGUGAGAUUUCCCCAAAGAACGGAAUAAAUGAGUGAACAAGCAUCGAAAGGAGUGUGUUAGUGAAACAAGUAGCUCAGUCCUAGUGGAGAGGACAAAACUUCUAGAUGACUCAUCGGGAUAGACCUUUAGUUUUAUUUCUUGUGACUAGACAUGAAUACUAUCCAUUUUCUCAUCGCAUCAAAAGGUCUAUUAGAGAGAUGGCUCCAACCCUAUAUAAUCGAGUGGUGCUGGAAUGACCAAUCCAAUUCCCUCAGGCUGGCUUUAUCGAAGGGAAGCCUUGUCCUGUCCGCUAGGAUUGAGCUAUUUGUUUCACUAACAUACACCUUUCAGUGCUUGGUCAUUCAUUUAUUCUGUUCUUUUUUUUUGGGGGGGGGGGGGGAGUUCUCACUCCUAUUUUGUUUAGAAGGUGAUAAUUACUAUAAGAAAGAAUAUCAAGUGUUUGAUAACUAUACUAAAUUUAUGCCGUCUUUCAUAAAAGAAACGACUCUUUUCACUAUGCUUAACUCCUUCAGUGUCGAUUUUAAAGAUAUGAUAGCAAUGCAUGAAAGCUUUCUUCUAUGCUUAUGUUAUUAUAAGAUAUAGGAAAGAGCCUAUAAACACACAACUUCCACCCUCUUGGAUGAAGUUUGAGAUUGUAUAUGUGAUAAAUUUACAAGAAAAAAAAAGAGAUUUCAAAAAAGAAUUCAAAUAAUUAAUUUUUCUGCACAAAACAAGGAAAUAGAAUAAAGUAGAAAAAAAUGGAUUUUGUAAAUUAAUAUCAAUUACAUGGAAAUACAUCAAAUAAGAAGCUUACACACAUGUACACCAGCAACACCACUAAACACAAUAUUACAAAGUGAGCAACAAAAGCAAUGAAGAGUACGAGUGAUACAUGCAAACACAACACAAACACUCAGCAUAGGAGUAGAUCUCCGCUAAACAAAGAGAAAGAAUAAACACAGUACUUUGCUUCUAUACACACUUAUUUAACCUUCAUAAACUCCAAAGAAUCGAUGGACUCUUAGUUGUUUCCGACACAUUGCGGAAGGCCAUCCUAGCAAUAAUGUCUUCCCAGUCUCGGGAAAAGGGUCCUCCCCUCUCCUUCCAGGGUUUAAAUUUGGUCAAGAAUCUUUUGAAUGCGUUGUUCCAUCAGCUCCGAAAAAGCAGUAGACACAGUCUCUAUAAAAUCAUAAAGUUUUUGUUGACGUUCACGCCUUUCAUUUUGAACAUUUAGCAUUCUUUGAUAAUAUGAGAGUCUUUCAGUGGUAGCUGGAUCCACAUCUCCCUUUGUUUUACCAAAUAGAGAAAGAAGCUUCUAUUUAUAGGCGUUAGAGACCCUUAAACCUUUCUUGUUAUUAUUAAGAUAGGUUGUCUUUGUUCUAUAACAUGGUCAACCCUUGGUUUUCAUGAAUAUGGAACCCCAUCCACUAGAUUUAAGUGCACUGAAAAAUUGUCCUUUCCUUGUACGCAAGGCCCUCUUUAUUUUGCAUCACUCCUUAAUGAAUAUGACACAAUUAUAUAAAGCACAUCAGAGAAGAGAGUACCCCCUUUAUUAUAAGAAAACCCCCUCCCCCCCUCCGCAUCCUUUCUUAAGAGAUGGAGAAAUCGUCAACCAUGUGAUCUGUCCUCGUUUACAUGCCCACUGUCACUAGCCUAAUGCCCAACCUACUCGUCUUAAACUAGAUUUUUAGUACCCAGCUACAUGAACUAAGUCCCCUCAGCCAAUCGUCACUUGACAACUCAAAGAUGACCAGUACAUCCCACAUGCUUUCCUACCCGUCUUUCACCGACCUAGUUGUACCCAACUACAAUCUCUUCCCUUAAAAAAUAAAAACAAAAGGUCCCUCUACCAAUCCUCAAUCAGCAACAACUUUGUCCUAGCGAAUAAAUUCCCUGCCCCUAUCGCUUGAUUGAUCUGAUCAUACACUUGCUCUACCCUACUUUUGACAAAAGAAUAAGAGCCUAAGUUCUCCCUAGUAGUAUACUACAAUAUCUCUAUAACUUUUAGAAAAUGAGUUUGAUAAAGAAAUUCUCUAGAAUCUUUAAAAUGAACAUAGUGUAUCAUCCAUCCUUUAGAGAGAAGUAAGAAUCCUUAAAAAAUUAAAAUUAUAUUUAAUCUAUCAUUUAGAGAGAGUUUUGUAUAUGUAGUAGUAUACAUUCUUUUACGGCCUUACCUACUCGUCUUAAAUUGUUUUUUUUGUACGCAGCUAUAUGAUCUAAGUCCCCUCAACCAAUCGUCACUCGACUACUCAAAGAUGACCAAUACAACCCACAUGAUUUCCCACCCCUUUUUCACCGACCUAUUUGUACCCAACUACAAUCUCUUCCCUUAUAAAAGAAAAAGGGCCCUCUACCAAUCCUCAAACGACAACAACUUUGUCCUAGCGAAUAAAUUCUCUGCCCCUAUCGCUUGAUUGAUCUGAUUAGACACUUGAUCUUCCCUAGUUUUGUCAAAAGAAUAAGAGCCUAAGUUCUCACUAGUAGUAUACUACAAUAUCUUAUAUCUUUUAGAAAAUGAGUUUGAUAAGAAAUUCUGUAGAAACUUUAAAAUGAACAUAGUGUAUCAUCCAUCUUUUAGAGAGAAGUAAGAAUCCUUAAAAAAUGAAAAUUAUAUUUAAUCUAUUAUUUAGAGAGAGCAUUUUGUAUAUGUAGUAGUGUAUAUUGUUUUACGGUUGGAGGGGUAGGUGGUUAAGGAAUCAUGUUAGAGUGCGGGAGAUCUAGCGGAUCUUGGUAUGAUGUUGUAGAAUAUUUAGAUAAUAGUAUUAUUUAUCAUAGUAUAUGAUACAUACAAUAUAGAAUGAAUACCUAGAACAAUAUAUUAUCAUAUACUGUAAAUUACCUAAUAACUCAUAUCAUGUGAUACUCAAAAUAUAAAAUUAAUACCUAACAAUAAAUAUUAUCAUAUACUUGAUCUAAGGUUCAUAAUCAGUCUUAGUGGUAGCAGCUGCCAAGCAGAGUAUGUUAACCAUAUCUCUUUAAUGCCUUUAUCACUUGUUCUGCUACUUUUAUCUUUCUUAGCCAGGAAGUUUUUUUAACCAUUCCUUCUCAUCCUUUGUCUCACUUUUGGUAGGUAAAUCUAUCAAAUUUACUCUCUUUCUUCUCGUUCGUAUCGUAUACUUUUUCUUGUUCAAAGCGUAUCCGCACUGAAGAAGUGGAAUAUAAAUACCCAAUAUCAGAUGAGCCAUACUAUGAAAAGAGUUUAAACCUAAAAAAUCAUAUUUAUCAAAAACUUUAAAAUACCUAAUAACAAAUUAUGAUUGCCUGCAAGAAAAGAGAAUGUAUUAUAGUAAUAAUAUGAUAUAUACUAUAAUACAUAAUUUCAUUUAUCAUUUUAUGUGUUAAUACAGAUCAUACCAUAUAUCAUACACCUAGUUAAAUUAAAAUGAUAAAUUCAAAGUAUAUGAUCUAUACACACAUUAUAAUAAUUUUAUUGUGUAGGGUGAUUAGUUAAACACCCUUCUCAAAGGAACUGCAGGUGACACUCUCGUGUCACACGACUUAGUCCCGAAAUCAAGACCUUAACCUUUCCUUUGACCAUUGAGUCCUCGAACCAUAAUAUUUCCUAGGAUGUUAUGGGCGCCCCUGCCAUUCCUUUUGAAGUUGCACCUCCGUACCUCCAGAACCACGUAAGUUUUAGAAAUCCGUUUUGACUUCCCGAAAGUAGGGUCUAUGGUGUCUUUCUGUUUUAAUACUUUGGAGGAUUUCCUCCAUCCUCACCCCUCCCCGCCCGCGUGUCUCUCCUCCAGAAUUUCUGUGAGACGCUUGACUUGAAAAUCCCCCUGGAACGUGUGUAUGAAAUUCCCCGUGAAUCUCUUGAAUCACCGCGACAACCUCCUUGUAAUUUUGAAGAAGCCACUCCCAAUUUUUUCAGAGACAUAUGUGCAUCUGUAUGCUCUUGUAUAGAAGGCUCGUGAAUGGGGGGUUGUUGUGGCUGGGGAGGUGCUGCUUACCGAAUGUAUCAUAUGAUAGAGGAUUUAUGAGCCUUAAGGAAGAUACCCAACCACUCUUUGAUGACUUUAAAGAAGAGGUUGGAGGUGAGAUCCUUAACUUCAAAUGGUAUUUAUCCAACGUCGUGAAAAUGUCACCUCUCAAGAGUAGAAGGAACUGGAAUAAGCAAUCUUAUAUAAGUUCAUUUCUGAUUCACUUCCUCCCAUUUGUUCCGAGUCGCCAAGGGGUAGAAGCCUUUUUUUCUGAUUUCUUUGCAAGCAUUACAUAAGAUUAGAUAGCUAAUUCAAUUCAUCCUACCAGGGUCACAUCACUUCCUUCCAGCGGGUGAGACAAGAGUUCAUGUGCCAAGCCUAAGAAGCUUAGACUUCUACCUCCCUGCGACAAUCAUUAUUCCCCUAAUCACUGAUUCUCUAGCACCGUUGUCUUCCUAGGCUAAAAGUCCUUACUCCUCCUACACUUAAAUCGAUGGAACUUUCGAUCUAUACAAAAAGAAUUGACUUACCUUCUAGCAUUCAUUAGAACUUCUCUUCUUUACAGAGAUUUUCCCUUCUAGUAGCAAUUCUGAAGUGGAUAUAGGGGAGAUAUCAAUCUCGUUGUGGGCCACAAUUAAAAACAAAAAAAUAAAAAGAAGAAGAAUCUCACUUACCAUGUGACAACUAGGUUUGGGGGUCAUUUUAGAAUACCUAAAUUUUCUACUCUAUUACUAUUAUUAUUUUACUUUCCACAUUUCUUUGUUAUUGUUAGGUUUUAGGUUGACUUGUCUUUGUGGAAUAUACCGGUUCCAUCACUUCAAUUUUUAAAAUUUUAACAUUUAUGUUCUCUACAAAAAAAAAAGAAGGUAUCCUUAUGUAUGUUAUUUUUGUCUAUUAAUUUAGAUUCAUUUAUUGUUAAUAAUGAUAAAUAUAUUUUUGAAGGAAUGAUUGUUUGCAAUUUAGAUUAACUUUUUUACCAUCUUUCUUUGUGCUAUAUGAUCAUGAUUUUUGUAGAUCCAAAUAAAGUCUUUUGUUCUUAUUUUUUAACCUAUAAAUGCUAUAGUAUUGAAUCAAAAUUAGGAUAAGAGAUAGAACCAAAAUAUUCACUACAAAGAAGCAAAUUCUAUUUAUUUUGAUGACAUAUAUUGUAAUAAAAGAAAACCAUAUCUCAUGAAAUAUGAAACAUCAUAACUCAUUGUUAUAGAAAUUAUGGUACUUCGUAAUAAAGGAGAUCCAAUGAAAUUCAGAAUAAAUUGAAUAUUGAAAUUAUUUUUUUGUUCGUUUUUCAUUAUAUCAUAUUUAAUCUCCGACUAAUCCUAAUUUAGAGGAACACACUCUAACAAUAUUUUUCAUAUCCAAGGCUCAAACUCGAGACCUCUGAUUAAGGAUUGAUGAAUCAUAUAUGUCCCUCCACAAUUGUCGUUGGCACUAAUAAUUAACACUCUCUUGUAUAUCCUACAAUAUGAUUGAAUAAGUUUUUUUGAGUUCUACCAACAACAUUGCACUGGAGAAAGAAAUUAAUAUAACUUCAUCCUUGACCAGAAGUGUCAAGGUAUGAGUUAUCUAUGUUAGAAGAGAUUUGCCCUCAAUUUGGAACUUUCCAUUAUCCGAAUUUCAUUGUGUCACAAUAAGAAUAUUAGAAACCAAGUAAAAAAAAUAUUUCCUUCUUGUACUUAUGAAAAUCAUAUAUUAGAAAAAAAUUAUAUUGAGGGUAAGAUUAAAGAUUAUGAGAUUAGUCUCAUCAAAUCUCCAUCAUUUUGUUAAUAACCAAAAAUUUUCUUAAUGAAAAUUUUAAAUUUUAUUUGUUUAUUGUUCUCUACACAUAAAGUAUUGAUUUUAUAUUUAUUUUAUUUCUUUUUUGUGCUAUUAAUUUAUAUUUAUUUAGUAUUUUAUUACAAUAAUGUUUUAUCUGAAGGUGAUGAUUAAUUGUCAAUUAAAUACUUUUAUGCCUAAUAUUCGUUGUGGUGUAUGAUGAUGAUUUUAUAAUUUCAAAUAAAAUUUUUGUAUUAUUGAAUUAUUAAAUGGCAUGGUAUUGAAUAAAAUCAGGAGUAAAUUACACUUAAAAUUUACUAGUAAGAUGAGAAUUUUAUAUAUCCUCAUGCUAUAUUUUUAUAUUCUUAUAAAGUUUCUUUUAAAACAUAUUGAAAGGCAAAAUAUAACACAUCUCAAUGAAAUAUUAAAUAUGAUAACUUAUUAUAAUUAUUAUAAAAAUUAUCAUUCUUCAAGAUGAAUGAGGUCUAAUGGAACUUCGAAUAAAUUAUAAAUUGUACUUAAUAUCAUUUUCACUUUAUUUCAAUAUAUUAUAUUGAAUUCCCAGUUAAUUUGGAUCCUGAGUAACAAUCUCUAAAAAAAUUUACUUCAUAUAUAAGGCUCAAACACGAGACCGCUGGUUAAGGAUGGAUAGACCAUAUACAUCCCACCAUAAUUCUUGUUGGUACGUACAAUGACUUAAUUUACUUUCUCUAUAAUAUUUGACAAUAUGUUGGAUUUAUUUAUUUUGUUUUACCAAAAAGGAUUAUGGUUGAGUAGAAGUUAGUAUUUCUUUAUUCGUGACCAGAAGUGUCGGACUUGAGUUUGGAGCAUAGGUUUUGUUCGAGAGGUUUACCCUCAACUUGGGACUUUUGACUAUCCGAAUUUAAUUGGAUCCUAAUAAAAGUAUCCGACAUCAAUAAAAAGUAUUUUCUUCUUGUACUUAUGAGAAUAAGUUAUUUUGAAGGAGAAAAAGUUGAGAGUAAUCUCAAGAAUUGUGGUAUUAGAUUCAUCAAUCCUAUAUCUUUCAUGAAUAAUCACUCAAUCUCAUAAAUAAAAUAUUUACUUUUUUUUUGUUUUUUACUCUCUGAAAAUAAAUUAUCGUCUUCAUAUUUUUUAAUUAAUGUUCUAUUAAUUCAAAUUCAUUUAAUGUUGAUGAUAAUUUUGUUAUGAUAAUGAUUAAUUGUCAGUUAGGUUAAUAUUAUGCCUAGUUUUGCUUAUGUUAUAUGAUGAUGAUGAUUUUAUAGCUUCAAAUAAAAUCUCAUGAUCUUAUCUUUGAGAGGCUAGCAAAAAGGACAAAUAUAUUCGAACUUCAUAAAUGACAUGUGAAUAUCCUCUGUUAUAUUUUAAGGUUGUAUAUAUCCUUACCAUCAUUCUUGUGCAUAUCCUUGAAGCUAACAGAUGGACAUGUGGCUUCAUCUAAAUUAUUUGCCCAAUUUUAUUUCUUUAUUCUUUACCCAAAAAUUAAAAAAUCCAUCCACCCAAAACCAAAAUGGAUGAUGUUAAAAUCCACUCUUCAUUUUAUUCAAAAAACCAUCCCUUUAUUGUUCUGAACCCACAUAACCAUGGAAUGAAGAACUCAUCAUUCAAGAAAGAAGAAGACUUGUUCACUAAAACUACACUCUUGCUGACAAAAAAAAAUCAACUUCAUUUAGUGUAGGAAUCUAGGUUAUUGGAAAAUCCCUUUCAACAAUAACAAAUCGAUUUGAGCGUGUAAUUUUCUAUGAUUGUCAACCCACUUUAAAAGGUUGAAGCUUUGUCUAUCAAUAGCAAUAAUAUUUUCUCAACCCCUUUCAUUAACAAUAAAUCAAUUUGAAUUUGAAAUUUUCAAUUCAAUUGUAGACCCAUUUUAAGCGUGGCGUUUUAUCCAUCAAUGGCGAUAUUGUUUCCAACCCCUUUCAGCAAUAAUAAAUUUACUUGAACUAAAAAGGGAAUUUUAAUUGAUUUCUUGAUUUCCAUUGAGAUGAUAUGCUUUUUGAUUUUUGUUUGAGAGAUUUGGAGAAUAGUGCUAAUGAAAAUAAAUUGAAUAAAUUUUUUCCUUUAGUUUAAUUUUUAAUUGAGAUGAAAGGCGUCUUUUAUAUUUUCUAUUUUUAAUGUCAUGGUACUUUAAUUUUUCUCAUAAAUAAAUGAUAAAUAUACAUCGAACUUCAUUAUACUUUUGGGUAUAUUUUUCAUUUUCCCUAAAAUAUAUCACCCUACCCUAAUUUCAUUUAUCUGACGCCCCACUACCUCCAUCUAGCCGGCGCGGUCAGUGAGCCAUCGCAUCUCUAUCACUUCUCUCCGGUAGAAGAUCCAAGCAUAGAACUUCAUUAGAAGACAAAACCUAAAAUGAGAAAUCCAGAACGACUAACCGGUGAUUUCAUUCCUAAUACACUGAUUACUUUUGUGAAUUUUUAUUAUUUUCAUUUUAAAUCUUUAUUAGAGGUUGUAAUCCAUGUCUAUCAUUAUUGUUUGAGCCACAUUUGAAUAGGCUGUGUAUAAUCUAUUAAUACUUUAUGAUUAACAAGUUGCUAAAGCUGAUUUUAAUUUUUACUGUUGAUGCAUCAAGGUUGUUUCAAAUUGACAUGUACUCACACUUUAAUCAUGUUCCAUAAAAUAUUGUUCAACUUGUUUUGGUUGUAAUAAGAAUUAAUAAUCAUGUUUACUCCGUAAUGUGAUUUGCUUAUCUACUUUCAUCAUAUCUACAAUUUCUCUCUUAAUAAUUUAUGAUUAACAAGUUGCUACAGCUAAUUUUAAUUUUUACUGUUGAUACAUCGUAGUUGUUUCAAAUCGAGAUGUACUCACACUUUAAUCAUGUUUACUCCGUUAUGUGAUUUGGUUGUUAACUUUCAUCAUAUCUACAAUUUCUCAAUAAUUAACUUGAUCAUUGAGAAUUCCUCUCCCUUGAAAUUUGAUUCGCAAGAGUCAUAUGUCUAAAUUGGGCAAUUAGAGAUCUUUCUACUUGUCUAAUUGUUAUUGCUUAUUUGAAUUAUGGUAUUUUCAUCUUCCUUAGCCGGUCAAGAUGUGGUUAGUAGCAUACUUUAUUUGACGAAAGGAUUAUGGAAAUUGCAUAUAUCUUUAUGUUUCUCUUUUUAUGCUUUUUACGAAUAUGCUGCUAAUCUAGAGGAACGUUUUCAUUCCAUUGGCUGAUCAGCCUUCCUUACUAUAUAAUACGAAUUUUUUUCUCAUGCUCCUGAUUCUCCAUUACAAUAUAACUAUAACCUCUUCAUCGGAGUUCAUUUCUUUUAUUGGAUACACUGAUAAACCGAAUCAGCUUUUCUCUGUUCUCUUGUUCUUUGUUGAUGGUUGUGUACCAAUAUUGUCUACUGAUGCUCGGAUCUUGUUGUGUUUUCUGGAUUGUUACUUCCUAACAGGUUAGUUUCUAUCCAAGUACUCUUCAUGCUUAAUGUGGUAAUUGUAUUUUUCAUUCUCUUGUCGCAUCAAAUGUGUGUUUUGGAAACUCAAAUGUGUAAGCAUUCCGGGAGAAGCAAACAGGUAUGUCCUUUUAUAUUUAAUGUACUUUGAUAAGUUUUCAGAAACUUUGUGCAUUAGAAUACAUGUUCAUAGGAUUUACUCAUAAUUUAACUUCAAAGCUUGUUGCUCUUUUUCUUGUUUGUUUGAAAUCAUGAUUUUCAUCAUAUACCUUUGGGGUUCACUUCUCAGUUUACUUACCAAAUAAUUGUUAAAUGAGGUAGCUAGGAGUAUUUCUUACUUUUCCAGAAAAUAUGUUAUGCUCUAUUUUCCAAGAUUGGUGUGAAAUCUGUACUUCACAUUUUGUAGUUCUUAACAAGGCCAUUAUUGAAGUGGGCUUAUUAGUGAUUCCCUCUCUAUGCUAUUGUGUGUGCUUGUAGGUGUACAAUUCUUUUGUGUGAACAGGGCAUUAGUUCGAUAUCGGGGGCAUUGAAGAGUUGUCUGGGACAUGGGAGUUUUCAAGGAUCGUCUAGUCAAGCCUACUCGUCUCGAAUUCAUUGUCUUUUCUAUUUCACUUUUGGGUUUGUAAUAACUUAUGAACUACAUUUCUUGUAAUAUUAAGAAUAAGUGCUUCUCUUAUUUGGGUUGGGGAAACAUUAUGUGCUA